ACAUUCAUGUUCAUGUGGGUAAGAUGGCUGCAGUCAUGUUCAUCACCUGAUGCAGAGUUUGCAAACAAACACAAUUUUGCCAAAAGAAUCUGUGAACUGAGGUACCACUGUAUAUGACUUCAAAUUUUAUUCUUUUUAGGGUGAAAUGGCACAGACAUCAAAAGGAUCCUGCAGCUCAGGAAAGAAAUAUGAAUCAACUGCUACACCCUCCCACCGAGCCUAGCCGACCCGGCCUCAGUCCUGAACUGCAGCUGUGUCACCCACUUCCAUACAGCACCAGUGUGCCUCUUCCCUUCAAACUCAACGUAUUUCAAACAGAGACUCUCACCUCAAUCCAGUGCCUCCCUCUAAUAGUGUCUGACACUUGAAACCCCCACUUCUGGAACCUAAAAAGCCCUAACAGUCUUAACCCCAACCAAUGCUGUAUCUCUCCUUUUGUUCAUUCUCCUAAGUUAGUCUCCCUGUUUCUCAAACUUACCUCAGGUUUUCCUUCUUCUCCGCCUUCUUUCAUGCAUUGCCCUCUUUUGCAAGGUUCACCCCCGUAGUGUCUAUCCAUUCCCUAAGGUGGGUCUUUAUCUUUUUUUGCUCACUAUUUCUUCUUGAAGCCGUGCCCAGUGAUAUCUAGCAGUCCUCUCUCCUCUAGGCUGCUCCAGCCCACUAGGCUGGUAAGUCAUUGUCGAGGGGCAGCAGCCGCA
Molecule: long non-coding RNA, 695 nt
Filed under: Chinchilla lanigera (long-tailed chinchilla)
Lineage: Eukaryota; Metazoa; Chordata; Mammalia; Rodentia; Chinchillidae
Description: lncRNA (ENSCLAG00000023757.1)
Source: RNAcentral